GAUGAAGAACGUAGCGAAAUGCGAUACUUGGUGUGAAUUGCAGAAUCCCGUGAACCAUCGAGUCUUUGAACGCAAGUUGCGCCCGAAGCCACUAGGCCGAGGGCACGCCUGCCUGGGCGUCACACGUCGUUGCCCCCCCAUCUACUCCUUCGGGAUUGCGGGGGGGCGGAUGAUGGCCUCCCGUGCGCCUAGCCGCGCGGUUGGCAUAAAUACCAAGUCCUCGGCGACGCACGCCACGACAAUCGGUGGUUGCGAAACCUCGGUUGCCCGUCGUGUGCGUUCGUCGCGCAUCGAGGGCUCGAAAAAAUGCUCGGCUCCGGCUUGGCUUUCAACGCGACCCCAGGUCAGGCGGGGUUACCCGCUGAAUUUAAGCAUAUCAAUAAGCGGAGGA
RNAcentral lists this unclassified non-coding RNA (391 nucleotides) under soil metagenome. Its description in RNAcentral is "partial contains 5.8S ribosomal RNA, internal transcribed spacer 2, and large subunit ribosomal RNA". The stretch from base 1 to 122 matches the Rfam family "5.8S ribosomal RNA", at positions 35 to 154 of the family's 154-position model. The record is from RNAcentral.